AGAAUCAACGCUGGCGGCGUGCCUAACACAUGCAAGUCGCACGAGAAAGGGUAGCAAUACCUGAGUACAGUGGCGCACGGGUGAGUAACACGUGAAUAAUCUACCUCCGAGUGGGGAAUAACUGAGAGAAAUCUUAGCUAAUACCGCAUAAUACCCACGGGUCAAAGCAGCAAUGCGCUUGGAGAGGAGUUCGCGGCAGAUUAGUUAGUUGGCGGGGUAAUGGCCCACCAAGACGAUGAUCU
RNAcentral lists this ribosomal RNA (242 nucleotides) under uncultured bacterium. Its description in RNAcentral is "partial small subunit ribosomal RNA". It matches the Rfam family "Bacterial small subunit ribosomal RNA", at positions 26 to 282 of the family's 1533-position model. The record is from RNAcentral.